RNAcentral lists this ribosomal RNA (492 nucleotides) under uncultured bacterium. Its description in RNAcentral is "partial 16S ribosomal RNA". It matches the Rfam family "Bacterial small subunit ribosomal RNA", at positions 29 to 507 of the family's 1533-position model. The record is from RNAcentral.
AGUGAACGCUGGCGGUAGGCCUAACACAUGCAAGUCGAACGGCAGCACAGUAAGAGCUUGCUCUUACGGGUGGCGAGUGGCGGACGGGUGAGGAAUACAUCGGAAUCUACUUUUUCGUGGGGGAUAACGUAGGGAAACUUACGCUAAUACCGCAUACGACCUACGGGUGAAAGCAGGGGAUCUUCGGACCUUGCGCGAUUGAAUGAGCCGAUGUCGGAUUAGCUAGUUGGCGGGGUAAAGGCCCACCAAGGCGACGAUCCGUAGCUGGUCUGAGAGGAUGAUCAGCCACACGGGAACUGAGACACGGUCCAGACUCCGACGGGAGGCAGCAGUGGGGAAUAUUGGGCAAUGGGCGCAAGCCUGAUCCAGCCAUACCGCGUGGGUGAAGAAGGCCUUCGGGUUGUAAAGCCCUUUUGUUGGGAAAGAAAAGCAGCAGGUUAAUACCCCGCUGUUCUGACGGUACCCAAAGAAUAAGCACCGGCUAACUUCGUG